Long non-coding RNA from Sinocyclocheilus anshuiensis, 207 nucleotides. RefSeq lists it as uncharacterized. The transcript is spliced from 3 exons. Lineage: Eukaryota; Metazoa; Chordata; Actinopteri; Cypriniformes; Cyprinidae. The record is from RefSeq and is a predicted model, not a curated record.
CUAAUAAACAGAAAUGCACCCCCUAUAAGAAGCGAAUGGAAUAUUCCUGCCCCUCUCCCGCAGCCGUUUGGUUUCCUCCGUCACCCGGUAGAUUUUCCCACGUGACCGCUGCGACUUCCUUUCUUGUGGCAGCCAUCGAGAGCAAUGGCAAAGAUCAAGGCCAGAGACCUGCGCGGAAAGAAGAAGGAGGAGCUGCUGAAGCAGCUG